This 45-nucleotide non-coding RNA is filed under the name Echinostoma caproni. Lineage: Eukaryota; Metazoa; Platyhelminthes; Trematoda; Plagiorchiida; Echinostomatidae. The record is from RNAcentral.
GCACGGCAGACGAGUCCCAAACAGGACGAAACAGCUGUCCAGUGC